UGAAAUAAUGGUCCCCUGUGUACAAAAAAAGGGUUCCCUGUGAAGGACUUUCUGUACAGAUUGGACAAAACACACGCGUAAAUGUUUACCAGCUCAUUGUAAACGUUUACCACACCCUUUUUGACUACACUUCACCCAAAACUUCAUCUCAACACUUCCUCUCAACAUAAGCACUUCCUCCAAGGAAUUUGGGGUCCCCAAAAUCAG
This 207-nucleotide long non-coding RNA is filed under the name Vigna radiata. Its description in RNAcentral is "long non-coding RNA (VRAD_LNC015850)". Lineage: Eukaryota; Viridiplantae; Streptophyta; Magnoliopsida; Fabales; Fabaceae. The record is from RNAcentral.